AGAGAGAUGACAUCCAUCCCUCAGGUGGCAGCUUCACUUUCAAUCCUCUGCAACAGCCAUGUUGGUCCACCACAGUGGUGAAAGCUCCAGUCUUGUAAAGCCCUAAGAUGAAGAUGAAUGUCCGUUCUGAGGUGUCUCCACUCAGCAGACUCAGCAGACUCAACAGAAGCUGUGAGAACAUCUCUUGCCAGCACACAUGAAGAUUCAAAAAUAAUCUUCUAUUGACGAGUGUACACCAUAUCACAGACAGCCCACUGUAUAGCCAUAAGCUCAGCUUCUUUUUGUGACCCCACAUUCGAGAAGGCUAGCCUGCUAUGAAGAAUAGUAGUACCUUUAUCAUCACGCAAAAUCCAACCCACUCCACACAUAUCAUGAUUAUUAACCCAGGACACUCCUAUAUUGCAUUUCAGGUAACCCGGCGGAGGUCUCGUCCAAAGAGAGAGAGCACUGUAGCGUCGUCGAAGAGGUUUGGUGUAACGACCCAGAUUCAUAAAUCAAAAUAGUUCUGGUUGUUUUAAUUAUUUGUUUAACCAAAACCGGUUUGGUUUGGUUUAAUUAUAAUUAUUAUAACUAAAACCCUCACUUCCAUUUUGGUCAAAGCGUGCAAUAUAAAUAUUGUAUACAUCUCCACUUUCGUUGAAAAAGACCAGCGCCGUCAACCUCCUGAUACCAUCUUCUUGUUCUUCAUGAAACCUAGCGGCAACCAAGACAACACCAUCACCUUCAUACCGUCAUUAUUUUGUGAACCCGAGGGAAGGUAUCCCAUCGAAAGAGAAGGAGAUGUCACGCCUCAUCACCACUAUGUAGCGUUCACCGUUUGGGGCACCUUGUGUCACCGGAGAUGUAACACGGUGCUGGAGACACGCCUUGCCGUCAGAUAUCCAUCGCCUGUCUCUUAUGGUCGUGCAGCGGAUCUGAGAGGCUUUGAUGUGGAGAAGAGACGCACGUACACGGAGCCAUCACGUAGAGCACUUCCGGUGCCGAUCAUCACGUCAUCAUCUCAUCGGAGGAGGGUCUGAGAUCAUUGCCGUGCCGGAGCCUUUAUCAACUCUCGACAUGGCCGUGAUCAUAACCGAGAGAUGCGGAGGAGGCACGAUCUAAAUUGGAGUUGCGGCGUUUAACACCAACCAAUACCAUCGUUAACCAUGAGUCAUAGGAGGGGCAAGCCAUGUCACCGGAGAGUCGUUCAUGAUCACGUUUGAGCCAGCCACCAUCAUCAACCGUAGUCCAAGCCGUAUAGCAGCUACGUGUUAUCUUCUUGUUACUUAUGUUACAAGCAACAUAUUUAGCUUAAGCUAAAUGUUUCAUGCGUAGGAAACAUGCAACUUUGGAUGUUAUUAUUCUAAAACCUAAGCGAGAUUUGAAGGGCGAGGCGUUUUCCCAUUAUCUCCGACCUUGGCUAAGAUGAGACUGACGAGCAGGAGUGAUUGCUAUCGGGCUGGUGCUUUGGGAGUUUUAUUUCUGUCUUUUUCAGACUUGCGAAUUUUAUGUUGUUAUCGAUAUUUUCGGGAUUUAUUAUGUUAUUUUGAUUUAUGGCUAUUUAUUGGAUUUACGACUUUGAAGUUGACUUUUGAGAAGUAAUAAAUGGAGAUUUCAGACU
Molecule: long non-coding RNA, 1600 nt
Organism: Brassica napus (rape)
Lineage: Eukaryota; Viridiplantae; Streptophyta; Magnoliopsida; Brassicales; Brassicaceae
Exons: 2
Source: RefSeq, a predicted model, not a curated record